Molecule: transfer RNA, 72 nt
Filed under: bacterium
Lineage: Bacteria
Description: tRNA-Cys
Rfam family: tRNA
About the family: Transfer RNA (tRNA) molecules are approximately 80 nucleotides in length. Their secondary structure includes four short double-helical elements and three loops (D, anti-codon, and T loops).
Source: RNAcentral
GGCCUGGUGGCGAAGAAGCAACGCGGCGGUCUGCAAAACCGCUAUGCGCGGGUGCGAAUCCCGCCCAGGCCU